This 524-nucleotide ribosomal RNA is filed under the name uncultured bacterium. RNAcentral's name for it is "partial 16S ribosomal RNA". It matches the Rfam family "Bacterial small subunit ribosomal RNA", at positions 28 to 523 of the family's 1533-position model. The record is from RNAcentral.
GACGAACGCUGGCGGCGUGCCUAAUACAUGCAAGUCGAGCGCAGGAAACUGAGGGAACUCUUCGGAGGGAAGGCAGUGGAAUGAGCGGCGGACGGGUGAGUAACACGUAAGGAACCUGCCUCAAGGAUUGGGAUAACUCCGAGAAAUCGGAGCUAAUACCGGAUAGUUCAUCGGACCGCAUGGUCCGUUGAUGAAAGGCGCUUCGGCGUCACCUUGAGAUGGCCUUGCGGUGCAUUAGCUAGUUGGUGGGGUAACGGCCCACCAAGGCGACGAUGCAUAGCCGACCUGAGAGGGUGAUCGGCCACACUGGGACUGAGACACGGCCCAGACUCCUACGGGAGGCAGCAGUAGGGAAUCUUCCACAAUGGACGAAAGUCUGAUGGAGCAACGCCGCGUGAGUGAUGAAGGUUUUCGGAUCGUAAAACUCUGUUGUAAGGGAAGAACACGUACGAGAGGGAAUGCUCGUACCUUGACGGUACCUUAUGAGAAAGCCACGGCUAACUACGUGCCAGCCGCCGCAGUAA